Long non-coding RNA from Orcinus orca (killer whale), 2611 nucleotides. RefSeq lists it as uncharacterized. The transcript has 2 exons. The record is from RefSeq and is a predicted model, not a curated record. Lineage: Eukaryota; Metazoa; Chordata; Mammalia; Artiodactyla; Delphinidae.
AGGAGGAGAGAAAACCUAUAAGAAUAUUCCUCUAUCAAUCAAAAGAUUCCAGUGAGUAAGCAAUACCAGUUUCAAAAAUAAGGGAGAGUAGGAAAUAAUAAAAAAAAUUUUUCAAGAAAACCUCUCGGAGUUUACAGACAAAAAUUUACAUCUGAAAUGGCCUAAGCAAACUCUUAACUGCAGUAGAUGAAAACAGACAGACGCUAAGAAACAUCACAGUGAAAUUGCAGAAAGGAUGGAAAAGAAGAGAGACCUUGAAAACUUCAAGAGGCAAAAAACAUGGGCCUGGAGGCUAGAAGACAGUGAAGCAAUGCCUUCCGAAUUCUAAGGAAAAAAAUCAGUAUUUCCAACACAGAGUUCUAUAUUGAGUCAAGAUGAGAGUAAGUCCUAGGGUAGCCUAAGACAUAUCAGAGUUACAAUGUUUUCCUUUCCAUGUUCCCUUCUUCAGGAUACUGUUAGACAAACUGCGGGGGAAAUGAUGGAGAAAACCAACAACAGGGAAACAUGGGAUCCAGGCAACAGGGAAGCCUUGUAAAAUUAUGCAGUAGGAGAGAGAGGCAGAGGGCUGCCCAGAAUGAGGAGAAGGAGAUCCGGGACGUCAGCUCUGCCCCAGGUGUGCAGGGAACCAGUCUCCGUGUGGCAGCACGGAGGGCUGUGGGAGAGUCUGUGCAAAGAAGUGAAGUUGGUGGAAUAUCCGAUGUGCUUGAAUGUAUUCAGAAAGACUUAGAUUCUGUGCAGAGUUUUAGAAUGAUUUAAAAUGAGUACAAUAUGGGGCUUCCCUGGUGGCGAAGUGGUUAAGAAUCCGCCUGCCAGUGCAGGGGACAAGGGUUUGAGCCCUGGUCCGGGAAGAUCCCACGUGCUGCGGAGCAACUAAGACCGUGAGCCACAACUACUGAGCCCGCCUGCUGCAACCACUGAAGCCCGCGCACCUAGAGCCCAUGCUCCGCAACAAGAGAAGCCACUGCAAUGAGAAGCCCGCGCACCGCAACGAAGAGUAGCGCCGCUCGCUGCAACUAGAGAAAGCCCACAUGCAGCAAUGAAGACCCAAAGCAGGCAAAUAAACUAAAAAAAAAAAAAAAAAAAAAUCAGUACAACCAAAGUAAGACAUUAUUUAUUCCACCGAAAUCUUAAAUAUCCAUUCAAGAAAAGUAAUCACAGUCUACUAAAUGCUCACUUGUGACUAGCAUUUCCGUCAUCAUCAUAAGGCAAAUAUUGCACAGAGAGCUAAUCAAAAUUACAAAACUGAUAGAUGUAUAAUUAUAACUAUUUUGGAAAGACAGGGGUGUGUGAAAGAAAAACCAAUUAACUAAAGAUGAUACAUAAAACUGAAAGCAAAGGAGUAUUAAAGGUAUGCAUUUUAGAGACAUAGAAGAAACAAUUAGAGAAUCAGCUUAAGAACUAAAAGAGCAUCUCUCUGAGAUUCAAGAGAAGGGGGACAUGGAAGAUUGGGGACAUCGGUCUAGAUAUCAAGUCUUGUAGAAGUAUUUUACUUUUUAAAACUAUGUGCACAUAUCCAUUAGCUAAAAAUAAAAAAGACAACCUAGUAGAUGAGACAAUGGCCUUUGGCCUUAGGAAUUUUUCUGUUAAGAAGAGUCACAGAAAUGGAGCAGCAGUUGGAAGGAAACUGUACACAGAGUGGUGGAUGUUUAUGGGAGAAUUUUGUUUUGAUUUAUUUAUUUUUGUUUGAUUAAUUUUAAUGGGAGGAAUUGCAGCAUGUUUGUAGGCAGGGAUGAAGGAGCAGUAGAGAGUGGGAAACUGAUGACACAGGGGAGGAUGGAGUCGGAUCCUGUACCCACGCUGAGGGGCAGGCGUAGACAGGAGAGGACCAUCCAUCAUCACUGGUGGGAAGGUGAGAUACAGGUGCAGAUGUGGGAAUAGUGGAGAAGGAGGAUGUAAUUCUCACCUGAGUGCUUUUUUUUUCUGAUGGAGGGGUCUGAGGGAAAAGGAGGAAAUGAGAAAUCGCCCUCUCAGGGGUGUGAGAGUGAGCUGACUGGGAAAUGGCGUCUGCAGAGUGCAGGGUGGGGGCCACUGAGGUCUGGGCUGUUCAGCUUAGAGAAAUUUCCAGCUCUUGGGCAACAACAGGAGGAUGUAUAAGAAACGAAAGAAAAAUGCAACAAAAUAUCUGCAAAUGUGAGGAUUACAUUCUUUUUACUUUGUCAUUUAUCACUUUUGACACUUUAUUACUUGCUUUACAGUGAACAUACAUUAUAUUCUAUAUUAUACGUUACACAUAUACAUCAUAAUAAGAAUUCAAAAGCUUUGCUUAAAUUUUUAAAAGGAAGGCAAGUGGGCAGAAAAAGUGAAGAGCUGUGGGCACAGAGCUGGACGUGCCGGGCUCCGUGCCUGAGCUCUGGGCAGUGAACUCACACAGCCUUUUCUCCUUUUCUCAGGACCGUGUUUUCUUUGGAGGCCAAGCAGGAUUUUUCCCUUCUUUUUUCAGUGUGGUCACUUAUUAGGACCUUGUCACCUCUUUGAUGCUUUUAAGAUAGUUUUUAUAUUUUACAUGGCAUUUUCAGCUAUUUUCAGUGAGCAGAAUUCUCCCUACAAUCCAGCCCAUCUUCUCCAGUAAUGGAAUUUCUGUGGCAGAAUAGCUCAGUUAAAAGACUUUGGG